Molecule: ribosomal RNA, 503 nt
Filed under: uncultured bacterium
Lineage: Bacteria
Description: partial 16S ribosomal RNA
Rfam family: Bacterial small subunit ribosomal RNA
Source: RNAcentral
AUUGAACGCUGGCGGCAGGCUUAACACAUGCAAGUCGAGCGGGGUGAUGGUGCUUGCACUAUCACUUAGCGGCGGACGGGUGAGUAAUGCUUAGGAAUCUGCCUAUUAGUGGGGGACAACAUCUCGAAAGGGAUGCUAAUACCGCAUACGUCCUACGGGAGAAAGCAGGGGAUCACUUGUGACCUUGCGCUAAUAGAUGAGCCUAAGUCGGAUUAGCUAGUUGGUGGGGUAAAGGCCUACCAAGGCGACGAUCUGUAGCGGGUCUGAGAGGAUGAGCCGCCACCCUGGGACCGAGACACGGCCCAGACUCCGACGGGAGGCAGCAGUGGGGAAUAUUGGACAAUGGGGGGAACCCUGAUCUAGCCAUGCCGCGUGUGUGAAGAAGGCCUUAUGGUUGUAAAGCACUUUAAGCGAGGAGGAGGCUCUUUUGGUUAAUACCCAAGAUGAGUGGACGUUACUCGCAGAAUAAGCACCGGCUAACUCUGUGCCAGCCGCCGCAGUAA